RNAcentral lists this long non-coding RNA (610 nucleotides) under Cricetulus griseus (Chinese hamster). Its description in RNAcentral is "lncRNA (ENSCGRG00015029724.1)". The record is from RNAcentral. Lineage: Eukaryota; Metazoa; Chordata; Mammalia; Rodentia; Cricetidae.
CUUUAACUAUUGUUAGACCCCCGAAAACUCAAGUAUCCGGGGUCUCAGGCCAGGUUCGCGGUCACCCCAAUCACCAGGCGGAUUCGAGAGCUUGCUGCAAACUGCACGAGGCUUUAUUGUAAUUUAACGAACUAACCCCAUGUUAGCUCGGGUCUUUCACCCACCCGCCAUGGCGGACGGCUAGAAAAGACGGCUCCUAAGGUCUCCCCAAAGAUCUUAUAGGGCAGCGUAAGGGGAGUGUCUAGGGGUACGCACAGGCUUACGCACAGGCUCAUGAUUGGUGUGCCUCCAGGCUUGGAGGGCUUGCCCUGUGUUGAUUGGUCAACUGGUUGUUAUGGCUCAUAGGCUUACGCACAGGCUCAUGAUUGGUGUGCCUCCAGGCUUGGAGGGCUUGCCCUGUGUUGAUUGGUCAACUGGUUGUUAUGGCUCAUAGGCCCUCCCAGGGUGGUUGCUAUGCUCUCUACGUCAUUGCUGUGCGCUUGUCCGUAAAGCACACCCAGGGUCGUAAAGCAUAGCGCCACCAGCUAACUUCUGAUUGGUUCCUUGUCACAAGACAGGCAUCUGACCUCUACGUGACCAAGGCAGGUUUAUGGCAAGCACGUGUUCGGCU